UAGAAAAUAGUAUGUUGGAGGUACCAGGGAAUUUUGAUUUCCCCAGGUGCAGGUUCAAUUCCUGUUUUUCUAA
Molecule: transfer RNA, 73 nt
Filed under: Leptopelis vermiculatus (vermiculated tree frog)
Lineage: Eukaryota; Metazoa; Chordata; Amphibia; Anura; Arthroleptidae
Description: tRNA-Gln
Rfam family: tRNA
About the family: Transfer RNA (tRNA) molecules are approximately 80 nucleotides in length. Their secondary structure includes four short double-helical elements and three loops (D, anti-codon, and T loops). Further hydrogen bonds mediate the characteristic L-shaped molecular structure. tRNAs have two regions of fundamental functional importance: the anti-codon, which is responsible for specific mRNA codon recognition, and the 3' end, to which the tRNAs corresponding amino acid is attached (by aminoacyl-tRNA synthetases). tRNAs cope with the degeneracy of the genetic code in two manners: having more than one tRNA (with a specific anti-codon) for a particular amino acid; and 'wobble' base-pairing, i.e. permitting non-standard base-pairing at the 3rd anti-codon position.
Source: RNAcentral